UUAGAGUGGCCCUGUUUUAAGCGCACACACGCUCUGCCUUGCUUUGCUGCCCGCAUCAAGCAGUGCAGACACUGGGAUGAAAUGUGUGAGUCAUCAGUGAUUGACGUCACUUAGAAGUGGCACUUGAGUGACCAAGGAUAUGCCAUUUUACACAUAUACUGAUUUAAUUCUUUGAUUCUACACUUGCAUAGCAUCCUUGCAUGCUUUCCUCGUUUCUUAUGAGGGAGAAGUUAAGAAAAAGAACAAAAAAGACAAAGAAAAAUAAGGAUACAGUUACAGAAAUGAGAAGCACCCUAUGAUGGAGUGACAUUGAAUAAACAUUGAUCUGUAGACAACGGUGUGAUCACCUGGGAUCUAGAAAGGACCAGCCAGCAACUCACAUCCUUGGAGUUAUUUCAGACUGCACAUUAUAGGUGUUUUUCUGAUCUUGCACACCCAAUUUACGUCUUGGAGCAUCUACUAACCAGAUGAGUGGAAUAAGAUUCCUCAGAGUGUGGGAGCAGUUUCUCCAGUGCCUCCUGCAACCAUUUUGUUUGUGUUUUGCUGUUAUUACUUUUGUGAUUGAGAUAAAUAAACUCUAGAAACCAUGUAAAAGUUGUUUUUAUUUAUAUAAUUGUUUUUC
Xyrauchen texanus (razorback sucker) is the source of this 622-nucleotide long non-coding RNA. RefSeq lists it as uncharacterized. Lineage: Eukaryota; Metazoa; Chordata; Actinopteri; Cypriniformes; Catostomidae. The transcript has 3 exons. The record is from RefSeq and is a predicted model, not a curated record.